GAAAUUAAUAGAAAAUCUAAGAAUGACAUGUUUAAUUACAAAAAUGGUGUUCGGGGGCGAAGCGUGUAAACCUCUUGAGAAGAUUCUUUCAUCUUCUUCCCCCACCCCGGAGAAAACUGCAUAAAGGGUUCAAAGAAAAUUCUCAACUUGGAACCGAUAAAAAAAUUUCGUCUUUUCAAGUUUUGAUAUUUGCUUGUUGUUCUUCAAAGGGAAGAUGCAAGGAGGUGGUAGAGAUCCUUUCAACUCUGGUGGUCCUUUUGGUGGCCCUUUUGGUAGCCCUUUUGGUAGCCCUUUUGGUGGCCCUAACAAUGGUCCACCGAAUCUCAUGUCUAACUUCUUCGGAGGGAGAGAUCCGUUCGAUGACCCUUUCUUCACCCAGCCUUUUGGUGGUGGCAUGUUUCAGUCCAGCUUCUUUGGUCCCACCAUGGAUCCUUUCGCUGGAAUGCGUCCUCCUCCUUCAGGUUUUAUCGAGAAUCAUCACCAGCCACCACCACAGCAGAGAAGGUCUCAUGGACCGAUUAUUGAAGAGAUUGAUUCAGACGAUGAGGGUGAAGGGGAUGGAGGUAAAGAGAAGAAAGUAAGGCUAGGGAAACAUGGCAGGUCAAGCACCGAGACUGAAACCGAAGUUGCUAGAGCAGAAGGUGAUACAGUAGUUUCGAAGCGGAAUGUUUAUGUUUCUUUGUAAGUGACUGUGUGUUUGCUUAUGUUUCUGCAGAGAGAAGGAACAGACAAAUGCAAAACAUGAAUGCAAAUGCAAUGGUGAACAAUGGGCAGUGGCAACCACAAACUAGUAGUUACAGUUUCCAGAGCUCCACUGUUACAUACGGUGGUCAUGACGGAAACUACUAUACUUCAUCCAAGACAAGAAGGACUGGAAGUGAUGGGUUAACUCUUGAAGAAAGCAAAGAAGCUAAUACUGCAACACGCGAAGCGGCGCACAGGAUUUCAAGAGGCUUACAUAACAAGGGCCACACAGUUGCGCGUAAACUUAACUCAGAUGGUCGUGUUGAUACAACGCAGACCUUGCACAAUUUAAAUGAAGAUGAGUUGGCUGAUUUUGAACAGUCUUGGAGUGGAAAUGCUAGAAUGCACUUACCCGGUUCGUCUGGUUCCUUUGGCAGUGGUCUUGUAAACAGAGAGCAACCAAUGUCGCUUCCUUCAACUGAUCCAAGCUCUUCUUCACGUGCAAGAGCAGAGUCAUCCAGAAGACCAAAGGCUGCAAUGAAUUUUAGAGGACAUGGCAGAAACUAAAUCUUAGGACUAUCAUGUCCUGUUAGUGAAUGUAACCGAAGACUAUAUCAUCUACUUUACUCAGGGUGCAUCGAUAGUGUAGCCUGUAUGAUGACAUAUGACUUUGAGGCGCUUAUGAUAAUGAUAUAUGCAUGUUUUUAUUACAUUAACCUGUUCUUAGCUGCUUGUAAUCAAGUAAUCAGAUCAAGGCUUUUCUUGAGCCA
This is an RNA transcript of Brassica rapa (field mustard), 1454 nucleotides long. RefSeq lists it as uncharacterized. Lineage: Eukaryota; Viridiplantae; Streptophyta; Magnoliopsida; Brassicales; Brassicaceae. The record is from RefSeq and is a predicted model, not a curated record.